ACGGAGUUAGCCGGUGCUUAUUCCUAAAGUACCGUCAUUAUCUUCCUUUAGAAAAGAGCUUUACGACCCAAAGGCCUUCUUCACUCACGCGGUAUUGCUGCGUCAGGCUUUCGCCCAUUGCGCGAAAUUCCCC
Molecule: ribosomal RNA, 133 nt
Filed under: uncultured bacterium
Lineage: Bacteria
Description: partial 16S ribosomal RNA
Source: RNAcentral